CCUACGGGUGGCAGCAGUGAGGAAUUUUCCGCAAUGGGCGCAAGCCUGACGGAGUCAUACCGCGUGAGGGACGACGCUUUGUGGAGUGUAAACCUCUUUUAUUCGGGAAGAAUUAAUGACGGUACCGAAUGAAUCAGCAUCGGCUAACUCCGUGCCAGCAGCCGCGGUAAUACGGAGGAUGCAAGCGUUAUCCGGAAUGAUUGGGCGUAAAGGGUCUGUAGGUGGUUGGGCAAGUCUGUUGUGAAAGCGUGGCGCUUAACGCCAUUGAUGCAAUG
This 275-nucleotide ribosomal RNA is filed under the name uncultured bacterium. RNAcentral describes it as "partial 16S ribosomal RNA". It matches the Rfam family "Bacterial small subunit ribosomal RNA", at positions 338 to 628 of the family's 1533-position model. The record is from RNAcentral.